RNAcentral lists this unclassified non-coding RNA (877 nucleotides) under Portunus trituberculatus (swimming crab). RNAcentral's name for it is "glycine receptor subunit alpha-2-like, transcript variant X1". The record is from RNAcentral. Lineage: Eukaryota; Metazoa; Arthropoda; Malacostraca; Decapoda; Portunidae.
GAAGUGGGCGGGUGAGCAAGUUGAAGCAACUACUACAACAUAAAAUUUUAAAAGUUGAAUUGACACGGGAUUUUAAGAGUGCAUUUACGAUACUAAUGACAUAUUAAAGAUUUGUGAAACAAAGUGUAGAAAGUGACACGGGAUUUUCUAAGUGUUUCCAAGGGUAGUGACAACAGCAAGACUACGCCGGUGUUUGUUCGUCUCCAAAUCAUCUUAUAUCGGGAUUGGUACGCCACAAAACAGAACCAUGCAGAGUAUCCCACACCACGGAGGAGCUGGUGUUCGAGUGGGACCCCGUGGUGCCCCUGGACGUGGACCCCACCAUAGAACUCCCCCAGAAGGACAUCAGGAAUUACACCUCAGACUGCACUCAGGUGUACUCCACAGAUGAGCGUAACUUCACAUGCCUGGAGGUGGUGUUCACGCUGAAGAGAUGUCUCGGGUACUACGUCUUCCAUACCUACAUUCCAACCUGCCUCGUCGUUAUUAUGUCUCCUGAGAUCGCCCCAGCCUGCGUGACUCUGGGUGUGACUUCCCUCCUGACGCUCUUCACGCAACAGGCCAAGUCUCAAGCUUCCUUACCGCUGGUCUCCUACAUUAAAACCAUUGAUAUAUUCAUGUCAUCCUGUACCGUGUUUGUGUUCAUGGUGCUUAUUGAGUACGCCGUGGUGAACAUUAUCCUGGGUGACGGCUCAGGGGACGCGGCGAAAUGCCCUGCGAAGCCUGAACCCAAGCCCAGCAAAGCAACUGACCAAGUACCUGGGUGUUCAGAUGAGCUUUAGGAAGUCUCUUCAAGCCGUCCACUAUGUUCGAGUCCUCUGUCUGCCACGGCUAGCACCACUUCGGCUGCUAGCCAACAGGGGCCUUGGGGCGGGCA